Molecule: ribosomal RNA, 464 nt
Filed under: Pseudomonas songnenensis
Lineage: Bacteria; Pseudomonadati; Pseudomonadota; Gammaproteobacteria; Pseudomonadales; Pseudomonadaceae
Description: bacterial SSU rRNA
Rfam family: Bacterial small subunit ribosomal RNA
Source: RNAcentral
UCGAGCGGAUGAAGGGAGCUUAGCUCCCUGAUUCAGCGGCGGACGGGUGAGUAAUGCCUAGGAAUCUGCCUGGUAGUGGGGGACAACGUUUCGAAAGGAACGCUAAUACCGCAUACGUCCUACGGGAGAAAGCAGGGGACCUUCGGGCCUUGCGCUAUCAGAUGAGCCUAGGUCGGAUUAGCUAGUUGGUGAGGUAAUGGCUCACCAAGGCUGCGAUCCGUAACUGGUCUGAGAGGAUGAUCAGUCACACUGGAACUGAGACACGGUCCAGACUCCUACGGGAGGCAGCAGUGGGGAAUAUUGGACAAUGGGCGAAAGCCUGAUCCAGCCAUGCCGCGUGUGUGAAGAAGGUCUUCGGAUUGUAAAGCACUUUAAGUUGGGAGGAAGGGCAGUAAGUUAAUACCUUGCUGUUUUGACGUUACCGACAGAAUAAGCACCGGCUAACUUCGUGCCAGCAGCCGCGG